UCUAGUGGCGCACGGGUGCGUAACGCGUGGGAAUCUGCCCUUGGGUUCGGAAUAACUUCUGGAAACGGAAGCUAAUACCGGAUGAUGACGUAAAUCCAAAGAUUUAUCGCCCAAGGAUGAGCCCGCGUAGGAUUAGCUAGUUGGUGGGGUAAAGGCCCACCAAGGCGACGAUCCUUAGCUGGUCUGAGAGGAUGAUCAGCCACACUGGGACUGAGACACGGCCCAGACUCCUACGGGAGGCAGCAGUAGGGAAUAUUGGACAAUGGGCGAAAGCCUGAUCCAGCAAUGCCGCGUGAGUGAUGAAGGCCUUAGGGUUGUAAAGCUCUUUUACCCGGGAUGAUAAUGACAGUACCGGGAGAAUAAGCUCCGGCUAACUCCGUGCCAGCAGCCGCGGUAAUACGGAGGGAGCUAGCGUUGUUCGGAAUUACUGGGCGUAAAGCGCACGUAGGCGG
Molecule: ribosomal RNA, 452 nt
Filed under: uncultured Sphingobium sp.
Lineage: Bacteria; Pseudomonadati; Pseudomonadota; Alphaproteobacteria; Sphingomonadales; Sphingobiaceae
Description: bacterial SSU rRNA
Rfam family: Bacterial small subunit ribosomal RNA
Source: RNAcentral